Molecule: non-coding RNA, 775 nt
Organism: Xyrichtys novacula (pearly razorfish)
Lineage: Eukaryota; Metazoa; Chordata; Actinopteri; Labriformes; Labridae
Source: the annotation of a GenBank genome assembly
GCCACCGUUUCUUUUUCAGAUGAUUACAUUUUUGUCUCUUGCUCUUUGGUUUCAGACAUUACACGAUGAUCUACUGUCUGGAAAGAUCCGCUCCAACAGAAUGUUCCUUUGGAGGAAUCCCGCCACCUCACUCCGACUAAAGCAGCAUCUUAAGAUAAGGACACUAAGUUGGAGUGAGCAGCGCGUAAGUAAAAAUGCCAUCCAUCAUGAGUAUUUUUACUCUCAGGGGUGUUACAUUUGAAAGGUGUUUACUUUCUGUGUUUUUCUUCAAUAGAUGUUCGAGCUCCUGCGGUUCAUUGAGGUGGCAACAAACAUUUCUAAAAAAAUAAAGAGAGGCGAGAUUUAUCUGCUUGAUUUCGUUUUUGACGUCAUGCUCCCAGAGGUGAGUAGAUCAAACUAUAUAGCUUGCUUUGAAAAUUGAUGAUAUUGUUAAGAGGUUGUUCUUAUUCAUUUGGAAAGCUCAAGAACAACAAUUAACCCAUACUGCAUAACUUCAAUUGUUCACAUUAUUUGACUGUUUUUCAGCUUUUGAUCAAAGCACUGAAGGAGCAUGGCAUCACCCGGUUCAGAGCAGAGCAGAUGAUGGCCUGUGGCAACGUGUUUUAAGCCCCCCACCACACCGACGGCAGUGCUGAAUUUUGUAUAUAUAUAUAUUUUUUUUUACUGUUCACAAUUUUGUUUGGAAAAAAUUAAAGAAAUCUUCAAAGCAGUUGUAUGACAAUUUCCCAUUUCUUUACACAGUCUGUAAUGAUAUCGCUAUUCAAUUGUUUUUGCU